GAACGCUGGCGGCGUGCUUAACACAUGCAAGUCGAGCGGAAAGGCCCUUCGGGGUACUCGAGCGGCGAACGGGUGAGUAACACGUGAGUAACCUGCCCUCAACUUCGGGAUAAGCCUGGGAAACCGGGUCUAAUACCGGGUAGGACCUUCGGUGGCAUCGCUGGGGGUGGAAAGUUUUUUCGGUUGGGGAUGGGCUCGCGGCCUAUCAGCUUGUUGGUGGGGUAGUGGCCUACCAAGGCGACGACGGGUAGCCGGCCUGAGAGGGCGACCGGCCACACUGGGACUGAGACACGGCCCAGACUCCUACGGGAGGCAGCAGUGGGGAAUAUUGCGCAAUGGGCGGAAGCCUGACGCAGCGACGCCGCGUGGGGGAUGACGGCCUUCGGGUUGUAAACCUCUUUCAGCAGGGACGAAAUAGGACGUGUACCUGUAGAAGAAGCGCCGGCUAACUACGUGCCAGCAGCCGCGGUAAUACGUAGGGCGCGAGCGUUGUCCGGAAUUAUUGGGCGUAAAGAGCUCGUAGGUGGCUU
RNAcentral lists this ribosomal RNA (530 nucleotides) under Sphaerisporangium rufum. Its description in RNAcentral is "bacterial SSU rRNA". It matches the Rfam family "Bacterial small subunit ribosomal RNA", at positions 31 to 581 of the family's 1533-position model. The record is from RNAcentral. Lineage: Bacteria; Bacillati; Actinomycetota; Actinomycetes; Streptosporangiales; Streptosporangiaceae.